Molecule: long non-coding RNA, 559 nt
Filed under: Equus caballus (horse)
Lineage: Eukaryota; Metazoa; Chordata; Mammalia; Perissodactyla; Equidae
Description: lncRNA (ENSECAG00000047245.1)
Source: RNAcentral
CUUCAGAGAGAGGUGGUGUAAGGAGGUCAGAUUCUAAGUGUGAUAAGGAUGUGGCAUGCCAUUGCCGGCUCUGAGAUGUAGAGGCUUGUGUGCUAGGACUGGAGAGAGACCUUAAGAGAAGAAGGGAGGCCACCAGUUGACAGCCAGCAAAGAAAUGGGCCUCAGUCCUACAGCCACAAGCAACUAAUUCUGCCAACAACCUGAAUGAGCUUGGAAGCAGAUUCUUUUCAAAGCCUUCCAGUAAGAGCCAAGCUGGCUGAUACCUUGAUUUUGGCCUCAUGAAGCCAAGAGCAGAGAAAACAGCUGAGCCAGCCUGGAUGUCUGAACUACAGACUGGUCCUGGAACCCUCUUACCUGUCAAUGACUUUCCCUCUUGGAAUUUGAGGGAACAACUGGAAUGCCCCCAGCUUUUCCCACAGAUGGAAGAUUAGCCCUGAGCUAACAGCCAUGCCACUCUUCCUCCACUUUGUAUGUGAGAUGCCUGCACAGCAUGGCUGAUAAGUGGAGUAGGUCCACACCCAGGAUCUGAACCCAUAAACCUGGGCUGCCGAAGUGGAGC